RNAcentral lists this ribosomal RNA (492 nucleotides) under uncultured bacterium. RNAcentral describes it as "partial 16S ribosomal RNA". It matches the Rfam family "Bacterial small subunit ribosomal RNA", at positions 29 to 507 of the family's 1533-position model. The record is from RNAcentral.
AGUGAACGCUGGCGGUAGGCCUAACACAUGCAAGUCGAACGGCAGCACAGUAAGAGCUUGCUCUUACGGGUGGCGAGUGGCGGACGGGUGAGGAAUACAUCGGAAUCUACUUUUUCGUGGGGGAUAACGUAGGGAAACUUACGCUAAUACCGCUUACGACCUACGGGUGAAAGCAGGGGAUCUUCGGACCUUGCGCGAUUGAAUGAGCCGAUGUCGGAUUAGCUAGUUGGCGGGGUAAAGGCCCACCAAGGCGACGAUCCGUAGCUGGUCUGAGAGGAUGAUCAGCCACACUGGAACUGAGACACGGUCCAGACUCCUACGGGAGGCAGCAGUGGGGAAUAUUGGACAAAGGGCGCAAGCCUGAUCCAGCCAUACCGCGUGGGUGAAGAAGGCCUUCGGGUUGUAAAGCCCUUUUGUUGGGAAAGAAAAGCAGCAGGUUAAUACCCCGCUGUUCUGACGGUACCCAAAGAAUAAGCACCGGCUAACUUCGUG